AUGCACUGUGAGGCCCCCUUGCAUUUUGGUUCUGUCCCAUCUCUUAAGGAGUUAUUCCUCCUAUGUGGUGCACACCUUGAUCACUCGGGAUUUAGUUUAAGCCAGCUUCUAGAUGGUGCCACAGAAAUUGAUACCCUGACCUUAAACUUCCAGGGAGAAAAGCUUUGGAUCCAGCCUGAAAGCAAGCAACUCCGCGCUGCAUUCAACAAGCUAAGGAAGCUGUCUAUUCAUGGCAUAUAUGUUGAGUUUGACCUGUUAUGGACAAUAAAUCUCCUUGAAGCUGCUCCAACAGUUGAGAUAUUCGACAUUGAGGUGUUUGAACAUCCAUGUCUAGUACUGCAUUGGGAGCACGUUGGCAUUGAAAGAGUGCAACCUUCAUGGAAGAUGCCUGGGUUCACAAACUGUAAUAAGUGGCAACUGAGAGAGCUCCACAUCACCAACUUUAGUCCCCUCAUGGAGCUACAUAUGUUAUUUGUUCGCGAGGUGAUGGAUCGAGCGCCAAACUUGAAAACUGUUAUUUUGAAAGAAGACGAAGAACCAUGCGAGGAUUGCGAGGCAAUAGGUCCACUGCCUAAUCCGGUAGGAGGCUUGUUUCCAAGGACCAAAAAUGAGCAAGAAACACUAGCACAGCAACUUAGGGACAACAUGGUCGGCUCCUCGGUCAAGAUAAUUUUCAAAAGUAUUACUUCAACAGUGGUACUCUGA
This 705-nucleotide ribosomal RNA is filed under the name Triticum aestivum (bread wheat). Its description in RNAcentral is "partial small subunit ribosomal RNA". Lineage: Eukaryota; Viridiplantae; Streptophyta; Magnoliopsida; Poales; Poaceae. The record is from RNAcentral.